Molecule: ribosomal RNA, 516 nt
Filed under: Anax junius (common green darner)
Lineage: Eukaryota; Metazoa; Arthropoda; Insecta; Odonata; Aeshnidae
Description: partial 16S ribosomal RNA
Rfam family: Archaeal large subunit ribosomal RNA
Source: RNAcentral
GUCUUCUUGUUAUAUUUAGGAAGUCUGGCCUGCCCAGUGAAAAUAAUUUAACGGCCGCGGUAUACUGACCGUGCAAAGGUAGCAUAAUCAUUAGUCUUUUAAUAGAGGGCUGGUAUGAAGGGUUUAACGAGGUGUUGACUGUCUCAUUUAAUUUGGAUUUAGAAUUUAAUUUUUUAGUUAAAAAGCUAAAAUUUUAUUGGAAGACGAGAAGACCCUAUAGAGCUUUAUAUUUUUAUUAUUAAUUUAUUUUAGUUUAUUAUUAUUUAUUAUUAAUAGGAAAUAUUUUGUUGGGGUGACAAAAAUAUAUAAAUAACUUUUUCCAUUUAUUUUACAUUGAUAUAUGAAUAUUAGAUCCAAUCUUAUUGAUUGUUAGAUUAAGUUACCUUAGGGAUAACAGCGUAAUCCCUCUCCAGAGUUCAUAUUUACAGAGGGGCUUGCGACCUCGAUGUUGGAUUAAGAUAAUAAUUAGGUGCAGCCGCUUAAUUAAUAGGUCUGUUCGACCUUUAAAUUCUUACA